GUGGCAGGGGCGGCGGUAAUACGGAGGGUGCAAGCGUUAGUCGGAAUUACUGGGCGUAAAGGGUGCGUAGGCGGGGAUGUAAGUCAGAUGUGAAAUACCGUUGCUCAACAACGGCCGUGCAUCUGAAACUGCAUUUCUAGAGGGAUAGCGGAGAAAACGGAAUUCCACGUGUAGCGGUGAAAUGCGUAGAUAUCUGGAAGAACACCCGUGGCGAAAGCGGUUUUCUAGCUUGACCCUGACGCUGAGGCACGAAAGCAAGGGGAGCAAACAGGAUUAGAUACCCUGGUAGUCCUUGCCUUAAACUAUGUAUACUUGGUGUUGUUAGGCUCAACCCUGACAGUACCGUAGCGAACGCGUUAAGUAUACCGCCUGGGGAGUACGCUCGCAAGGGUAAAACUCAAAAGAAUUGACGGGGACCCGCACAAGCAGUGGAGCAUGUGGUUUAAUUCGAUGCAACGCGAAGAACCUUACCUGGACUUGACAUGCUUUUGACCGCCGUAGAAAUACGGUUUUCUCGCAAGAGACAGAAGCACAGGUGCUGCAUGGCUGUCGUCAGCUCGUGCCGUGAGGUGUUGGGUUAAGUCCCGCAACGAGCGCAACCCUUGUCGUUAGUUGCCAACGCGUAAUGGCGGGCACUCUAGCGAGAACUGCCCAGGUUAACUGGGAGGAAGGUGAGGAUGACGUCAAGUCCGCAUGGCCUUUAUGUCCAGGGCUACACACGUGCUACAAUGGUCGGUACAAAAGGGAGCGAAGUCGUGAGAUGGAGCAAAUCCUCAAAGCCGGCCCCAGUUCGGAUUGGAGUCUGCAACUCGACUCCAUGAAGAUGGAAUUGCUAGUAAUGGCGGGUCAGCAACACCGCCGUGAAUCCGUUCCCGGGUCUUGUACACACCGCCCGUCAAGUCAUGGGAGUUGGUUUCACCCGAAGUCGCUCACCCAACCGCAAGGAGGGAGGCGCCUAAGGUGAGGCUGAUGACUGGGACUAAGUCGUAACAAGGUAACC
Molecule: ribosomal RNA, 1000 nt
Filed under: uncultured Chlamydia sp.
Lineage: Bacteria; Pseudomonadati; Chlamydiota; Chlamydiia; Chlamydiales; Chlamydiaceae
Description: bacterial SSU rRNA
Rfam family: Bacterial small subunit ribosomal RNA
Source: RNAcentral